Molecule: long non-coding RNA, 809 nt
Organism: Stegodyphus dumicola
Lineage: Eukaryota; Metazoa; Arthropoda; Arachnida; Araneae; Eresidae
Source: RefSeq, a predicted model, not a curated record
CAUAUUGUGACAUUUGCUUGUAAGUUUUGCUAACGCAAUAUUAAUUUAAUUUAAUCACUUUCUUCUGCCACUUUUCGCCACGAGGUUCUCUCAAAUUUUUAUAGACUUUUAUUGAGCAAGCGGUUUUGCUAUACAGUCUAGAAUUUUAAGAAUAAGAAUCUGAGAGUUUUGGUCUACAGAUUGCCAAUAAGAGAAGAGAUUUCUUUCUGGGAUUACUCCCAGCAAGAAAUUAUUCCCAGCAAGAAAUUCCAUUAAGACAAAGUUAAAUCCUGCUGGAAAAUAAAUUAAGUUUGAAAGCUUCUGAUAACCAGAACUUAAGAAGAAAACUUUUAGGAAACAAUCUGAUUGUAGAUUCGUUGGCAAGUUGAAAGCUGUAAGAAUCUUGAAACCCCUGGUGAAAUACUAACAGAAAUUGGAAAUGUAGAAAGAAAUAGAUGUAGCUGAAACUCUUGCAAUCAGCUUCAAUAAUAGGUGCUGUGUCAAAGGAUGUCUGUGUCUCAAUUUCUUAUUGCCUAAAUAGGUAAGCCUGAUGAUUUAGGACUCAUGAUGGUUCUAUUCGAUACUAUAACUUAUUCUCUCAAUACUUCAGUUUUUAAUGUCUGUGAAGAUUGUUUAUUUAAUUGGUGUUCCACUUAAGUUAAGCAGAAUUCUCAUACUUGUUAAAUAAAGAUUUUGUAGUUACUUUGACUAUGAUUCUUUGAUUAAAACUGCGCUAAAUAGAGGAAACGUACUCAUGCGUAAUACAGCAAUGACUUUCAUCCUUGCUAGCGCGCGGUUAACUUAGUGCCGUUAGCCUUUUGAACCGCACA